Alosa sapidissima (American shad) is the source of this 953-nucleotide long non-coding RNA. RefSeq lists it as uncharacterized. The record is from RefSeq and is a predicted model, not a curated record. The transcript has 4 exons. Lineage: Eukaryota; Metazoa; Chordata; Actinopteri; Clupeiformes; Clupeidae.
UCGCGCUACUGGUCGGGUGCGUCGAGUAUGUGGGACGUUUAACACGAACCAACGAGAAUAAUCUAUCAAUAAGAACUCAAUAAGAAGAGAAAAGAAACCUGAACUAGAACAUAAACCUGACCGGAGGGAAAACGAUUGACAGGACUAACGUUAAAUCGAAUGGAUUGAAGACAUCCAGAAGACAAAACUUCAAACAGAACUGCAACUUUCUGAACUGCCUGUACUGCAUCGAAUGCUGGCUUCGGUCAGGUUUUUUAUAGUGGAUAAAAGAUCUGAAUUGAUGGCGAGCCUCCCAGAAUCCCGAAUCUGAACUUCCCUUCACCUUUCAUUUCCCUUCACACCACUGUGGUAGGACUGUAAGACUGACCCAGACUGACCUUUUGACUAUUCCCUGACUUAACCUCCUGAUAACUUCUGAAUGAACUGAAUUAAUUGAUUGUGACACAUUGAUCGUUGAUAUUGAUAAUACAUUUUGUUGAAUUGAUACACAUACAUACUAUAAUACACUGAAUAUUUAUUGUAUAUAUUUUUAUUUUCUUGUACCAUUGAAAGAUCACAUUGAAUAUUUUAGAACUUAGGUAAGAUAAGGGUGCACCCGAAUAUAGAACCGUAUAUAGAACAUCUGAUGUUGUUAUUUAUUGCACUGCACUUUGUAUUCUAUUUAUUUCAAUCUAUUCAUUGUACUUAUUGUUAUUUAUACCAUUUUAUUCAUUCACUCCUUUUACUUAUUAAAUGUCAUCAUUAUUCUAACAUAAACUUUAGCUUGUUGCAUCCAUCUACCUCCAGUAGUCUUAUCUAGAAACUUCUGAUUCUGGUCCAAGUAACUAGACAUAACCUAGAAUAUAGUAAAUUGAGCCGAGUGCUACAUAUGCAAAUAACAUACGGUUAAUGGUCGUUCUAAAUUACGUAGGACAAUAGGAAAUUCAACCAAGCAGUGGAAUAAAUGCAAAAUA